AAAAUCUCAUUAAAUGGUAAUGGUGUCUUGCUUGUUUCAAUUGAUGCCACAUUUCUUUAUUGAAGAGAAUUUGCCUUUCAUUGAUUCACAGGAUUAAUGCAUUUGCUUUAUGGUGUUGAACAGCAUGUGUACUUUGCUCCAAAAGGGGGUCAAGGGUUAUCCUGUGUUACAGUACUAGUAAUUGCUAACAUUACUGGUGAUAUUUUAAUAUACUUGUAGUAACCAUAGUUUCUUCUCAACAUUGUGGCUGAUAAAAAUUGAAGGAGUAUGUUUGUGAUAUAAAGAGCAUCGAUGCUAGAUUGAAUAAUAGUCAGUUGAAUUUAUAUAAUUUCAUAUUUCUUCCAGCUCACAGUUGAUGUUAGAAGCAAUUCAGUUGAAGCUUCGCAGAUUAAUUAGUGUGGCAAUAGAAUUUCCCAGUUGAAGUUACUCAGUUAGUCAGUUACUCAGUCAGUCAAUUGCACCUUGUCCGGAUAAUUAGUGUGGCAAUAGAAUUUCCCAGUUGAAGUUACUCAGUUAGUCAGCUACUCAGUCA
Molecule: long non-coding RNA, 532 nt
Organism: Lingula anatina
Lineage: Eukaryota; Metazoa; Brachiopoda; Lingulata; Lingulida; Lingulidae
Source: RefSeq, a predicted model, not a curated record